Molecule: non-coding RNA, 708 nt
Organism: Nicotiana tabacum (common tobacco)
Lineage: Eukaryota; Viridiplantae; Streptophyta; Magnoliopsida; Solanales; Solanaceae
Source: RefSeq, a predicted model, not a curated record
CUUCCUCUGUUUUUCUCUAACUUCCUCCUCUGUUCUCUUCGUUCUGUUAUAAAUUUCCAUCUUUAUCUAUUCUUUAUCUCCAAUCCUUAUUAUAAAUUCCCAACUUUUGGAUUUGUUCUAAUAUCGAUAACAUAUCUACUCUUUCUGAUACUUUACAUAGAGGAUUGGGUUACUUGAAGUUCUUUGCUUCUUGAUUAAAAAAGGGACAAUCGAAGUACCAAUAGUUGCAAUAAAAUCAGAUUAAUGGAUAGUCGACAAUCCAAAAAGAGCCCUCGCUCGGUGACAGAAGCUCAUGAUGAGAAUAUCAAACACCAUAAAAUAGACGAUUCUUUGGGAAUGACUUUGAGAGAAGAAAAAUUAUUGCAACGAUGCCUGAAAAUUCGCGAGGCAACAACUAAACGCCUUCUUGCAACUACAAAUAAUAUCAAUCGCAUUGGAACAACAUCUCAUAUAGAUGAUAGUGUUAAUAUUGGACUGUCUUGUUCCUCUUCACAAACAGUUACUGAGUGUAGAGCUUUUUCGUCAUCCGAUGUCUUUGACAAGGAAAAAGAUAUUAUCUAGCCUUUCAUGUUUUUGAAAAAGGUAAAACCACAAAAAUGUAGUAUCUAUUAAGGUUCAACAUCGGGUACCACAAAUGAUUCAUGUACUCCAACCUCCAAAACAGUUACAACUAAAGGUUAGUUUAACGAUCAUUCUUUAUUGAUUUUA